UGCCCCGUGAUGAGACCCAUCCUUGCGCUAUGAGGAUUCGCAGCAAUGCAUGCUGGGAAUGUGAAGGUCACCCGGGGGUUCCCGGGCCCUGCCCAGUGGGGAAGGACCUGGGGACUGAGGGCA
Gopherus agassizii (Agassiz's desert tortoise) is the source of this 123-nucleotide small nucleolar RNA. NCBI's taxonomy places the organism in Eukaryota, Metazoa, Chordata, Testudines, Testudinidae. The record is from Ensembl.